AGCUCAGUGGUAGAGUGCAUGUUCAUUAUGCAUGAAGCCCUGGGUUCAAUCCCAG
RNAcentral lists this transfer RNA (55 nucleotides) under Cricetulus griseus (Chinese hamster). It matches the Rfam family "tRNA", at positions 9 to 63 of the family's 71-position model. Rfam says of the family: Transfer RNA (tRNA) molecules are approximately 80 nucleotides in length. The record is from Rfam by way of RNAcentral. Lineage: Eukaryota; Metazoa; Chordata; Mammalia; Rodentia; Cricetidae.